AAGAAACCAGCAAAGACUCAUUAUAUUGUCAUGAAAAAUAUGAUCAUAAACCUGCAAUUCAUCGGAUCCCAACUUGCAUACAACAACGAAGAUUACAUCGGACAGAUCACCGCGGGAAUCGCGGUGAACUUUGUUAUAUAUAUCCCUAAUAAUAAAGCGUCGACUGCUUCUGUCGUCCGUCGUUGUGGUGCUUUUACAUAAAAGUCCCUGAUGUUUUUGCUAAUUGACCCGCAGUCCACAUAAUAAGUCAACAUAAAUCGGUAUGGGCGAGAUAAGAGGAAAAACAGUUGCCUCCCGAUCCCAUCUCGACCUCCAGGCUCCAGCGCGCC
This 329-nucleotide long non-coding RNA is filed under the name Hordeum vulgare. Its description in RNAcentral is "long non-coding RNA (HVUL_LNC004583)". Lineage: Eukaryota; Viridiplantae; Streptophyta; Magnoliopsida; Poales; Poaceae. The record is from RNAcentral.